RNAcentral lists this ribosomal RNA (330 nucleotides) under uncultured Ehrlichia sp. RNAcentral describes it as "bacterial SSU rRNA". It matches the Rfam family "Bacterial small subunit ribosomal RNA", at positions 73 to 415 of the family's 1533-position model. Lineage: Bacteria; Pseudomonadati; Pseudomonadota; Alphaproteobacteria; Rickettsiales; Anaplasmataceae. The record is from RNAcentral.
AUAGCCUCUGGCUAUAGGAAAUUGUUAGUGGCAGACGGGUGAGUAAUGCGUAGGAAUCUACCUAGUAGUACGGAGUAGCCAUUAGAAAUGGUGGGUAAUACUGUAUAAUCCCCGAGGGGGAAAGAUUUAUCGCUAUUAGAUGAGCCUACGUUAGAUUAGCUAGUUGGUGAGGUAAUGGCUUACCAAGGCUAUGAUCUAUAGCUGGUCUGAGAGGACGAUCAGCCACACUGGAACUGAGAUACGGUCCAGACUCCUACGGGAGGCAGCAGUGGGGAAUAUUGGACAAUGGGCGAAAGCCUGAUCCAGCUAUGCCGCGUGAGUGAAGAAGGC